CUGUAGCUCAGUUGGAUAGAGCAACGGCCUUCUAAGCCGUGGGUCGGGGGUUCGAAUCCCGCCAG
This 65-nucleotide transfer RNA is filed under the name bovine gut metagenome. It matches the Rfam family "tRNA", at positions 5 to 66 of the family's 71-position model. Rfam says of the family: Transfer RNA (tRNA) molecules are approximately 80 nucleotides in length. Their secondary structure includes four short double-helical elements and three loops (D, anti-codon, and T loops). The record is from RNAcentral.